This is a long non-coding RNA of Drosophila arizonae, 479 nucleotides long. The record is from RefSeq and is a predicted model, not a curated record. NCBI's taxonomy places the organism in Eukaryota, Metazoa, Arthropoda, Insecta, Diptera, Drosophilidae.
GCUUAUGCAAAUUUCUCUGUGAUGAGCUAAGCUUUUACCUUGGGACACCUAUGAAUUGCCUUAAUUAGUGUAAUGUUAUAAGUGCUGAUAAAUAAUUAAACUACUAUGAAUUUACUUAUGCAAUUAAUAUUAAUAGUUUUCCUUGUUCUAUUGCAGUCUCAUAAACAACUCAACCUUAUAUCAAUUGGAGUCUUGGAACACAUUUGCUAUAGCUGAAAAGCUAUUUUGUGCUUCGGAUUCUAUGAUUGGUUGACAUCUAAAAUAUUUACUAGUUUAAAUAUCGAAUUGGUAAUGCUUAGACGUAGAAUGCACAUUAAUACACACAUACACAACCACUAAACGACUGCCUAUUUAUAUUUAUACUAGAUUUAAUUGUUGCAUAAAGUCAACAUUUGUGCAUCAUAUUUAAUUGCCACACUUCUGUAAUUUAAGCCACAAUAUUACUCUAAUAAUAAUAAUAAAUGUAUACAAAGCACAAA